Molecule: long non-coding RNA, 4086 nt
Organism: Oncorhynchus tshawytscha (Chinook salmon)
Lineage: Eukaryota; Metazoa; Chordata; Actinopteri; Salmoniformes; Salmonidae
Source: Ensembl
UUGGCUUUUGUUCUGGAUAGCUUAGCUGACCACCGGAAAUACCAAAGGUGACCAAACAGGCACAAUCCAUUUUUGUUAUUUAAGCUUUAUUUAGGCAGGGUGGAGUCCAAUUGAGAGGUCUCUUUUACAAGGGUCACUGCAUGACAAAAAAAGUACCCAAUCAAGGCAGCAUAGGAAAUACACAAAGAAACAUACAAAAAACACAAUAAUAAAAAAUAAAAAAACUAGCCACAACCAUGCCCUCUCAUGCAGUUCAACUUCAUAGCCAGAGCCAGGAGGUUCCCUGAUCAUGUGAUCGGAUCUGUAAAACUCUGGGCUCUAUAACUGUUCAUUCAUAGAAUACAGUGACACCAGAAAAAUGCCUAAUGCUCAGUCAAAAGUAACCUGGAGAUUAUUUCACACUAACCCACUCUCUUUCCCUAACUCUCUCACACUCUCUAGCAUCAAGGGUUGCAGUCAAAGAACAUUUCUGUUUCCCCAUUCCCCUUUAAUGGUUUUAUUAGAAGUGGGGAUAAUGUGUGAUUAGGGAUGGGACCCCAUCCUUUUAGAGCUUUAAUAAUCCACAGUAGCUAGUGCAGCAGAGCUAGAUGACACACAUGGGCCCGCUGCCUUUGUCUGGGAGGGAGAACAUGAUUAUUAAUAAACUAUUCACAUCGUUGGAAGGAGAAUGGGAAGAGGAGAAGCUGGUGAAGGCAGCAGUCAGCUAGCCAGCCAGUUGACUGCUGACGGUAAUUAAACUCAUGGUAUUAAAAGUGUGCCGCGUCUCCUCCAGGAAGAGAGAGAGGAGAAGAUCUGCUGUGAUACCUUUCCGCCCCCCUCUAUUUCUCUCUCCACCACCACCGCUCCCCUCCGCUUUCAGGGGGAAAUUAUAACCUAGCAUGCACACUUUAAUAUUUCAGCAUCUAAGUGAGUGUGACAGCCUCUCUUUGUGUCAUUCUCCCCUCCCACUCUUUCCCUCCUCCGUCCCUCAUUCCCUAAUUCCCUCCUUCUCUUCCUCCACCUUCUCUUCUCAUCUCGUUUGCUUAGCGUUCUCAAUGGCUGAACUCUUUUAUCAUGUGACGGGAAUGAGAGAUGAAGAAAAACAAAAACAAAUCAAACUCAAAAGCAGAAAAAACACGGAGGUAUCAGGGCGUGCUCUGCUCGGCGAGAGCGUCUCAGUCUCUCUGUGAGGUUAACCACGCCACAUUGCUGUGGCCAACCUAAAGUGAGGAGAUGUAUAUUACCCCUCGUCCCUGUCCCCGUCCCUCUCCACCCUAUCUGCAAUGUCAGGAUGAGGAACCAGGAAGUGAUAUCUUCUUCAGAGAGGGUUAGACUGAUACAGAGGUACAGCUGGGGAUGGGUGAGGUGGGGUGGGGGGGUUUGUAGUGGAGUACACAGGCAAGAUUCAGUUACGUCACAGCUUUGGGUUUUGUUCCGAGCCUGACAACAUGUCACCUUCGAUCUCUCAGCAGACUCCUGUUUGUGAAAGUACAGUACACACUUAGAAAAAAAUAAGCUAUUUAGAACCUAAAGGGGUUCUUCCACUGUUCCCAUAGGAGAACCAUUUGAGGAACCCUUUUUGGUUCCAGGUAGAACCCAUUUAGUUCCCUGUUGAACCUUUUCCACAGAGGGUUCUACAUGGAACCAAAAAGGGUUUUACCUGAAACCAAAAAGGUUUCUACCUGGAACCAAAAAGUGUUCUGCUAUGGGCACAGCCAAAGAAACCUUUUGGAACCCUUUUUUCUAAAAGUGUAGGUGGAAGUUAGGAUGGUUGGAUUAUUAGGUGAACUUACCUCAAGACGGAAUCAUCUCUACAGCCACAGACAGCAGAGAAAGCCAGCCAAUCCAUCUUCUACUGUAUAUGUAUGACACAGACCAGAACCAACCUGAAUGUGAGAUGUAUAGCCAAACCUUUAUGCAUGUGUGUGUCUAAGCUGAAUGUGAGAUGUAUAGCCAAACCAUUAUGCAUGUGUGUGUCUAAGCUGAAUGUGAGACGUGAAUGUGAGAUGUGAAUGUGAGAUGUAUAGCCAAACCAUUAUGCAUGUGUGUGUCUAAGCUGAAUGUGAGAUCUGAAUGUGAGAUGUAUAGCCAAACCAUUAUGCAUGUGUGUGUUUAAGCUGAAUGUGAGAUGUAUAGCCUACCUGUAUGUGUGUCAGUGUGUAUAUGUGCAUAUAAACUGAAUGUGAGUGAGAUGUAUAGCCUAACCAUUAUGCAUGUGUGUGUCUAAGCUGAAUGUGAGAUGUAUAGCCUACCUGUAUGUGUGUCAGUGUGUAUAUGUGCAUAUAAACUGAAUGUGAGUGAGAUGUAUAGCCUACCUGUAUGUGUGUCAGUGUGUAUAUGUGCAUAUAAACUGAAUGUGAGUGAGAUGUAUAGCCUACCUGUAUGUGUGUCAGUGUGUAUAUGUGCAUAUAAACUGAAUGUGAGUGAGAUGUAUAGCCUACCUGUAUGUGUGUCAGUGUGUAUAUGUGCAUAUAAACUGAAUGUGAGUGAGAUGUAUAGCCUACCUGUAUGUGUGUCAGUGUGUAUAUGUGUAUAUAAACUGAAUGUGAGUGAGAUGUAUAGCCUACCUGUAUGUGUCAGCUGAAUUUUAGAGCAUGUUAUUAAUGGUCAAGGGACUGGAAGAGGCUGCAAAAUGUCUGUGUUCAUAGCCACAAUGAUACAAAUCAAUUAUUCACCAGUCAGUCAAUUGUUGGUAUAAUAUUUGAGAAUUCAUACUCAAUUAAUAUGUUUUUCAAAAUGAAAGCUUUAUACAUUAUCAGGAAAUCCUUUCCACACAAAGAAUAAAUAAAUAUUUAUUUUGAAGAUUCUAAAAUAAAUAAGAUCAUUGAACUAAGGUACAUGUACGUGUUUGUCAAACAGACACAAAUACACACAUGCACACACACACACACACACACACACACACACACACACACACACACACACACACACACACACACACACACACACACAUAGCAGAAUUGAUCAUAUAAUUUACUCCUCUCUAUUAUGCUACAAUGAUAUUGAUCAAAUAAUUCCUAGAGCAGGAUUCAGACUGCCAAAAUGGCAAAACUGUUCUUGCUGUACUUAAGCAUGUUCCAUAAUGGCUUUCUUAUUGAUCAUCUCUCCCAUCUUCCCUCUGCAUGCAAACAAGUCCUUUUCAUAGGACUAUAGAGUGAACAGCACAAACAAGAAAUGGCUCAUGGCACAUGUUUGUGUGUUCAUCAAAUAAUUAAGUAACUGAAGUGGCCCUCUCAUCCGACUCCUCAGAAUAGAAACAAAUUGUGGGCACUCACUCCUGCUGUAAUUUAGAAACAAUUUGAAGAUUACGGCAACUGAAAGGCAAUUUGACCCCAUUUUCCUAUAGCUAAGGCUCCUGUGCUUAAUUUCCUUCCUGUGUACUUCUGCUGUAGGGCUCCUGAGAGGCCUGAGGCAGAGGAGACCGGGAGGGAGGGAGGAGCAGAGGAGAGGUGAGAGGAGCAGAGGAUAGAGGGGAGGGAGGAGCAGAGGAGAGUCUCUCUCUGUCUCACACUCCAGAGGCUCUCUAGAUGAGCAAUAGACACUGACAAUCACACUGUCCAGCAAAAACAACCCUUCCCCCUAUACCCCCACCCCCAACAAUCAUGACUCCCUACCUUGCCCCUAUACCUCCACCCCAACCACCAUGCGUCCCUACCUUGCCCCUAUACCUCCACCCCAACCACCAUGCCUCCCUACCUUGCCCCUAUACCUCCACCCCAACCACCAUGCCUCCCUACCUUGCCCCUAUACCUCCACCCCAACCACCAUGCCUCCCUACCUUCCCCUUACACUCUCAGGAAAAGGGUUCCAAAAUGGUUCUUUGGCUGUCCCUGUAGGAGAACCCUUUUUGGUUACAAGUAGAACUAUGUUGGGUUCCAUGUAGAAUCCUCUGUGUAAAGGGUUCUAAAUAGAACCCAAAAGGGUUCUACCUGGAACCAAAAAGGGUUCUUCAAAGGGUUCUCCUAUAGGGACAGCUGAAGAACCAUUUUAGUUUCAACAUAGUACCUUUAUUUCACACCUCCCUACCUACCCCUCAUACCUCCACCCCCAACCAUCACACCUCCCUACCUAUCCCUUAUACCUCCACCCCCAACCAUCACACCUCCC